UUUGGACCCUUUUGACCUCAAUGUGGACAAAGUUGAUAACGGGGCCCAAAAAUCAAAAAUCUAAAUACAUGGUUAGAUUCAGCAUAUCAAAGAACCCCAUAUAUUCAAUUUUUGUUGAAAUCAAACAAAGUUUAAUUUUGGACCCUUUUGACCUCAAUGUGGACAAAGUUGAUAACGGGGCCCAAAAAUCAAAAAUCUAAAUACAUGGUUAGAUUCAGCAUAUCAAAGAACCCCAUAUAUUCAAUUUUUGUUGAAAUCAAACAAAGUUUAAUUUUGGACCCUUUUGACCUC
This is a long non-coding RNA of Mytilus californianus (California mussel), 291 nucleotides long. RefSeq lists it as uncharacterized. The record is from RefSeq and is a predicted model, not a curated record. The transcript has 3 exons. Lineage: Eukaryota; Metazoa; Mollusca; Bivalvia; Mytilida; Mytilidae.